This 1524-nucleotide ribosomal RNA is filed under the name metagenome. RNAcentral describes it as "bacterial SSU rRNA". It matches the Rfam family "Bacterial small subunit ribosomal RNA". The record is from RNAcentral.
AGAGUUUGAUUCUGGCUCAGAACGAACGCUGGCGGCGUGCCUAAUACAUGCAAGUCGAACGAGAAAGCUCUUUCGGGAGUGAGUAAAGUGGCGCACGGGUGAGUAACACGUUGGUAAUCUACCCUGAAGACCGGGACAACAUUUCGAAAGAAGUGCUAAUCCCGGAUGUGACCAGGAGCUCUGCGGAGCAUCUGGAGAAAGGAGGGGGACCUUAGGGCCUCUCGCUUUGGGAUGAGCCUGCGCACCAUUAGCUUGUAGGUAGGGUAACGGCCUACCAAGGCUGCGAUGGUUAGCUGGUCUGAGAGGAUGACCAGCCACACUGGAACUGAGACACGGUCCAGACCCCUACGGGAGGCAGCAGUAGGGAAUAUUGGACAAUGGGGGAAACCCUGAUCCAGCGACGCCGCGUGAGUGAUGAAGGCCUUCGGGUCGUAAAGCUCUGUCGGAGGGAAAGAAAUGCAACAUGGUUAAUAACCAUGGUGCUUGACGGUACCUUCCAAGAAAGCACCGGCUAAUUCCGUGCCAGCAGCCGCGGUAAUACGGGGGGUGCAAGCGUUGUUCGGAAUCACUGGGCGUAAAGAGCAUGUAGGUGGUCUGGUAUGUCGGAUGUGAAAGCCCUUGGCUUAACCGAGGAAGUGCAUCCGAAACUGCCAAACUAGAGUAUUGGAGAGGGAAGCGGAAUUCCUAGUGUAGAGGUGAAAUUCGUAGAGAUUAGGAGGAACACCGGUGGCGAAAGCGGCUUCCUGGCCAUAUACUGACACUCAGAUGCGAAAGCGUGGGGAGCAAACAGGAUUAGAUACCCUGGUAGUCCACGCCGUAAACGAUGGACACUUGGCGUUGGAGGCUUUGACCCCUUCAGUGCCGGAGCUAACGUGUUAAGUGUCCCGCCUGGGGAGUACGGUCGCAAGAUUAAAACUCAAAGAAAUUGACGGGGGCCCGCACAAGCGGUGGAGCAUGUGGUUCAAUUCGAUCAACGCGAAAAACCUUACCUGGGUUUGGCAUCCCCGGACAACCCUAGAAAUAGGGCCUUUCCUUCGGGAACCGGGUGACAGGUGCUGCAUGGCUGUCGUCAGCUCGUGUCGUGAGAUGUUGGGUUAAGUCCCGCAACGAGCGCAACCCCUGCCUUUAGUUGCCAUCAUUAAGUUGGGCACUCUAGAGGGACUACCAGUGUUAAACUGGGGGAAGGUGGGGAUGACGUCAAGUCCUCAUGGCCUUUAUAUCCAGGGCUACACACGUGCUACAAUGGCCGGUACAAAGGGUUAUGCCUUCGGGCUGCAAUACUGUGAAGUUGAGCGAAUCCCAAAAAACCGGUCUCAGUUCGGAUUGGAGUCUGCGACUCGACUCCAUGAAGGUGGAAUCGCUAGUAAUCGUGGAUCAGAACGCCACGGUGAAUACGUUCCCGGGCCUUGUACACACCGCCCGUCACACCAUGAAAGUCAGUUGUACCAGAAGUCGUUGAGCUAACCUUCGGGAGGCAGGCGCCCAAGGUAUGAUUGAUGAUUGGGGUGAAGUCGAAACAAGGUA